This 611-nucleotide unclassified non-coding RNA is filed under the name Hevea brasiliensis (rubber tree). Lineage: Eukaryota; Viridiplantae; Streptophyta; Magnoliopsida; Malpighiales; Euphorbiaceae. The record is from RNAcentral.
UUAAUUAUGUUUUCUUAAACUGUGGAAAAUGAAAGGUUACAACCUUUAUGGGACAGAGUAGCAGAAGAAAACAUCCUUAAGCUAUCAAUUUGAAAGCAAAGGUCACAUAGAAGAAAGGGCAUAAAAAUAAUAUUAGAGCUGGCCAGUAUAAUUUUUUUUUACUACAUAAAAGUUCUUAUCUCACUAUGUGCUUCCCACAACAAAACUCACGUCUAUAUUGAUAGUAAUGUUGCCAAUUGGUAGAGGGAAAUACUUACCUACAAAUGGGUGUGUACACACUCAUCCAAUCUAUAAUUGACAUCAUUUAAAAUCAUAAUGGGUCAUAAAAAAUAUGGUAGAUCCUAUUAUGGUAGAUCCUAUCUAAAAUCAUGGUAUGCCAAUUUUUAUUAAUGGGGUGUAUAUACAGCCGGAUGUACUAAAAAUUUUUCCAUUGGUAAAAUGCGCUUCCAAAAGUAGACACAUGCUACACAUUUUCACUGCAAACUCGAGAGGUUUCAUCACCCAAUAUCCAAUAUAACUGCCAUAAUAAUAAUAAAAGCCAGCAAUAGCGUAUAAGGUCAUAAUCAAAAUACAUCAAGAUUGCCUCACCUUCCCAUGGUGUUGAAUAGCUG